GAUGAACGCUAGCUACAGGCUUAACACAUGCAAGUCGAGGGGAAACGACAUCGAAAGCUUGCUUUUGAUGGGCGUCGACCGGCGCACGGGUGAGUAACGCGUAUCCAACCUGCCCACCACUUGGGGAUAACCUUGCGAAAGUAAGACUAAUACCCAAUGAUAUCCCACGAAGACAUCUGAAUGGGAUUAAAGAUUUAUCGGUGAUGGAUGGGGAUGCGUCUGAUUAGCUUGUUGGCGGGGUAACGGCCCACCAAGGCAACGAUCAGUAGGGGUUCUGAGAGGAAGGUCCCCCACAUUGGAACUGAGACACGGUCCAAACUCCUACGGGAGGCAGCAGUGAGGAAUAGUGGGCAAUGGGCGAGAGCCUGAACCAGCCAAGUAGCGUGCAGGAAGACGGCCCUAUGGGUUGUAAACUGCUUUUAUAAGGGAAUAAAGUGGGUCACGUGUGACUUUUUGCAUGUACCUGAUGAAUAAGGACCGGCUAAUUCCGUG
Molecule: ribosomal RNA, 492 nt
Filed under: uncultured bacterium
Lineage: Bacteria
Description: partial 16S ribosomal RNA
Rfam family: Bacterial small subunit ribosomal RNA
Source: RNAcentral